Molecule: non-coding RNA, 1387 nt
Organism: Myodes glareolus (Bank vole)
Lineage: Eukaryota; Metazoa; Chordata; Mammalia; Rodentia; Cricetidae
Source: RefSeq, a predicted model, not a curated record
UGUGGCUGCGUGAAGAUGCAGAGUCACUUCCUGGUAUGUGUGCCAGGGCAACACGGCUAGAGACCGAGUACUGCAAAGCGUGAGUUUGACCAGAGGGCGAGCUCUCAGUGGCUUCCCCAGGCCACCAGAGGUUUUGGUCCCUUGUGGAACACCCUGUCAUAGUAAAGGUUGCCUGGAUGCAGGCCUCCUGCAAGGAGCCAGUUUCUGCACUGGCCCAGAGCCAAUCCCUGCAGGGAAAGAAGCCCAUCCCCACGUGGGCCACAGUGUUCUUCUGGAUGCUUCCUUUAAUGUGGCAGAAGUGAGUCACUUUUCACUUGACACCUCCGGCUCCUGCUGGACUGUAAACUCCUUGAGGGCCAACUUCUCAUUUCUGACUGAACCCCGAGGGUGCAUAGAGACCAGAAAGACUGAGUGACAGGAUGUGAGGAGCAAGGCCUGAGAGGGGCCAUCCGCCGAGAAGCAUGCUGACUCUGGAAAGGACAUCUGAGAACAAACGGCACCAUUUGGGAAGGUAGGAGGAUGGUCCUCCUUGACCACCCACCCACAAAGGCUCAUCUGGGAGAGAAUGGAGCUCUUGUAUCCAGGCGACACGGGGAUCCCUGAGAUGGGGUAGCAGGGUGCGGGAGUGCCAUCUUUCCAGAAAUGAAGAUGGCCCGUUAGCCACUCGGCAUCAUGUCUUCCUGCCCUGGGCCACUGCUGAGCUCCCUCCUUCCCAUUGUGGAGGAGCCUCGACAACACAGACUGGACCUGCAUCUGCGCCUGAUGCACAGCUGUGGGGAAUGGAGGCAAGUGGACCUAGGAGCAAGGGGCACGGGGCAGGGCAGGCUGUGGCCAGAGCGUGCCCACUAACCAAGGAAUUACCAUUUUGCGUUUUCGAUACUUACCACAUCCUAUACUCGAGCAAAGCAAGAAGGUGAAGGUCAGUGCAUAUUAUGAAAUUUGCCAGUCUCCCGGCCCUCCCCCUCCCUAUAUUCAUCUGGUUGUUGGGUUUUCAAGAUGACUGUAAUGGGAGGUGUAAGCUAGAACAGCCAGACGUGCGUAUGGUGCUUGGACCCGGCUAUGUUCACCUUUCCCAUGAGAGUCCACGCCAGUAUCCUCAGUUGGGUUCUGUUAGCUGCAGAGUGCACCCCCAUGUUGUUUGGGAAAAUGCCCGUAGUGACUAAAGAGCCAGGCUCCAGCCUUUUGGGGGAGCCUUUUGUUGUGGCAGGAACAAAGAGUAUUGAGGCAUAUUGAUGGGACGUGAAGGAAUUGUCACCACUAACCACACUGCAGUUCCACACAUAUGGUUGGUCCCUUCAAGACGGAGUACAAAGGUAAAAUGCAAGCUAGACUUUGAAGAUUUAAUUUUAAAAUGUAAACCAUCUUAUUUAAGACUGUUUUUAACAUU